CCUACGGGAGGCAGCAGUAGGGAAUAUUGCUCAAUGGGGGAAACCCUGAAGCAGCAACGCCGCGUGGAGGAUGAAGGUUUUCGGAUUGUAAACUCCUUUUGUUAGAGAAGAUAAUGACGGUAUCUAAGGAAUAAGCACCGGCUAACUCCGUGCCAGCAGCCGCGGUAAUACGGAGGGUGCAAGCGUUACUCGGAAUAACUGGGCGUAAAGAGCGCGUAGGCGGGAUAGCAAGUCAGAUGUGAAAUCCUAUGGCUUAACCAUAGAACUGCAUUUGAAACUGGUAUUCUAGAGUAUGGGAGAGGUAGGUGGAAUUCUUGGUGUAGGGGUAAAAUGCGUAGAUAUCAAGAGGAAUACUGAUUGCGAAGGCGACCUGCUAGAACAUAACUGACGCUGAUGCGCGAAAGCGUGGGGAGCAAACAGGAUUAGAUACCCCAGUAGUC
RNAcentral lists this ribosomal RNA (440 nucleotides) under uncultured bacterium. Its description in RNAcentral is "partial 16S ribosomal RNA". It matches the Rfam family "Bacterial small subunit ribosomal RNA", at positions 338 to 795 of the family's 1533-position model. The record is from RNAcentral.